Molecule: ribosomal RNA, 307 nt
Filed under: uncultured bacterium
Lineage: Bacteria
Description: partial 16S ribosomal RNA
Rfam family: Bacterial small subunit ribosomal RNA
Source: RNAcentral
AGACAGCAGUCGCCGCGGUAAUACGUAGGGUGCGAGCGUUGUCCGGAAUUACUGGGCGUAAAGAGCUCGUAGGCGGUUUGUCGCGUCGUCUGUGAAAUUCUGCAGCUUAACUGUAGGCGUGCAGGCGAUACGGGCAGACUUGAGUACUACAGGGGAGACUGGAAUUCCUGGUGUAGCGGUGAAAUGCGCAGAUAUCAGGAGGAACACCGGUGGCGAAGGCGGGUCUCUGGGUAGUAACUGACGCUGAGGAGCGAAAGCGUGGGUAGCGAACAGGAUUAGAUACCCGCGUAGUCCCUGUCUCUUAUAC